Molecule: non-coding RNA, 70 nt
Organism: Dipodomys ordii (Ord's kangaroo rat)
Lineage: Eukaryota; Metazoa; Chordata; Mammalia; Rodentia; Heteromyidae
Source: Rfam
GGGAAGGUAGCUCAGUGGUAGAGCGCUUGCCUUGCACGCCUGAGGCCCUGGGUUCGAUUCCUCAGCACCA